RNAcentral lists this transfer RNA (71 nucleotides) under Planctomycetota bacterium. RNAcentral describes it as "Planctomycetes bacterium tRNA-Ile". It matches the Rfam family "tRNA". From Rfam's summary of the family: Transfer RNA (tRNA) molecules are approximately 80 nucleotides in length. Their secondary structure includes four short double-helical elements and three loops (D, anti-codon, and T loops). Lineage: Bacteria; Pseudomonadati; Planctomycetota. The record is from RNAcentral.
AGCUCGGUGGUGUAUCGGCAGCAUGUCGCUCUGAUAAGGCGGCGGUGAUGGUUCAAUUCCAUCCCGAGCUA